UUCACCCAAAGUGAUAGAAAAUAGUAACGAGACUAAAAUUCCCCUCCAUCCCAUUUUAAGAUGCUGCUUCUCAGAAUCUCUAGAAAUAUGGCCCACAAUCAGGAUGAUUCAAAACUCAAGCACCAGCUUCCAUGCCACCGAAGAUAGAAAUGAUCACUUUAGCUUCCUUCCUAAAUGAACUUAUAUAAGGCAGGUUGCCUUAGUUUCAACUAGUUUUCUCCAACAGA
Molecule: unclassified non-coding RNA, 227 nt
Filed under: Hevea brasiliensis (rubber tree)
Lineage: Eukaryota; Viridiplantae; Streptophyta; Magnoliopsida; Malpighiales; Euphorbiaceae
Source: RNAcentral